This 468-nucleotide ribosomal RNA is filed under the name uncultured bacterium. RNAcentral describes it as "partial 16S ribosomal RNA". It matches the Rfam family "Bacterial small subunit ribosomal RNA", at positions 28 to 507 of the family's 1533-position model. The record is from RNAcentral.
GAUGAACGCUGGCGGCGUGCUUAACACAUGCAAGUCGAACGGAAAGGCCCAAGCUUGCUUGGAUACUCGAGUGGCGAACGGGUGAGUAACAAGUGGGUUAUCUGCCCUGCACUUCGGGAUAAGCCUGGGAAACUGGGUCUAAUACCGGAUAGGACGAUGGUUUGGAUGCCAUUGUGGAAAGGUUUUUCGGUGUGGGAUGAGCUCGCGGCCUAUCAGCUUGUUGGUGGGGUAAUGGCCUACCAAGGCGUCGACGGGUAGCCGGCCUGAGAGGGUGUACGGCCACAUUGGGACUGAGAUACGGCCCAGACUCCUACGGGAGGCAGCAGUGGGGAAUAUUGCACAAUGGGCGCAAGCCUGAUGCAGCGACGCCGCGUGGGGGAUGACGGCCUUCGGGUUGUAAACUCCUUUCGCUAGGGACGAAGCGUUUUUGUGACGGUACCAGGAGAAGAAGCACCGGCUAACUACGUG